This 253-nucleotide ribosomal RNA is filed under the name uncultured bacterium. RNAcentral describes it as "partial 16S ribosomal RNA". It matches the Rfam family "Bacterial small subunit ribosomal RNA", at positions 524 to 776 of the family's 1533-position model. The record is from RNAcentral.
UACAGAGGUCUCAAGCGUUGUUCGGAUUCAUUGGGCGUAAAGGGUGUGUAGGUGGCGCGCUAAGUCGGGUGUGAAAUUUCGGAGCUUAACUCCGAAACUGCAUUCGAUACUGGCGUGCUUGAAUCCGGGAGAGGGAUGUGGAAUUCCAGGUGUAGCGGUGAAAUGCGUAGAUAUCUGGAGGAACACCGGUGGCGAAGGCGGCAUCCUGGACCGGUAUUGACGCUGAGGCGCGAAAGCUAGGGGAGCAAACGGG